RNAcentral lists this ribosomal RNA (539 nucleotides) under Chloropicon mariensis. Its description in RNAcentral is "partial Bacterial small subunit ribosomal RNA". It matches the Rfam family "Bacterial small subunit ribosomal RNA", at positions 358 to 906 of the family's 1533-position model. The record is from RNAcentral. Lineage: Eukaryota; Viridiplantae; Chlorophyta; Chloropicophyceae; Chloropicales; Chloropicaceae.
GGAAUAUUGCACAAUGGGCGCAAGCCUGAUGCAGCGACGCCGCGUGAGGGAUGACGGCCUUCGGGUUGUAAACCUCUUUCAGCAGGGACGAAGCGGAAGUGACGGUACCUGCAGAAGAAGCACCGGCCAACUACGUGCCAGCAGCCGCGGUAAUACGUAGGGUGCGAGCGUUGUCCGGAAUUACUGGGCGUAAAGAGCUCGUAGGUGGUUUGUCGCGUCGUCUGUGAAAUUCCGGGGCUUAACUCCGGGCGUGCAGGCGAUACGGGCAUAACUUGAGUGCUGUAGGGGAGACUGGAAUUCCUGGUGUAGCGGUGAAAUGCGCAGAUAUCAGGAGGAACACCGGUGGCGAAGGCGGGUCUCUGGGCAGUAACUGACGCUGAGGAGCGAAAGCAUGGGGAGCGAACAGGAUUAGAUACCCUGGUAGUCCAUGCCGUAAACGUUGGGCACUAGGUGUGGGGGACAUUCCACGUUUUCCGCGCCGUAGCUAACGCAUUAAGUGCCCCGCCUGGGGAGUACGGCCGCAAGGCUAAAACUCAAAG